This 253-nucleotide ribosomal RNA is filed under the name uncultured bacterium. RNAcentral describes it as "partial 16S ribosomal RNA". It matches the Rfam family "Bacterial small subunit ribosomal RNA", at positions 524 to 776 of the family's 1533-position model. The record is from RNAcentral.
GACGUAGGGCGCGAGCGUUGUCCGGAUUUAUUGGGCGUAAAGAGCUCGUAGGCGGCUUGUCGCGUCGGCUGUGAAAACCCGCGGCUCAACUGUGGGCGGGCAGCUGAUACGGGCAGGCUGGAGUUCGGUAGGGGAGACUGGAAUUCCUGGUGUAGCGGUGAAAUGCGCAGAUAUCAGGAGGAACGCCGGUGGCGAAAGCGGUCCGCUGGAUCUCUACUGACGCUGAGGCGCGAAAGCCAGGGGAGCAAACGGG